Molecule: long non-coding RNA, 817 nt
Organism: Aegilops tauschii subsp. strangulata
Lineage: Eukaryota; Viridiplantae; Streptophyta; Magnoliopsida; Poales; Poaceae
Source: RefSeq, a predicted model, not a curated record
UCCCAUUCAGGCCAGCUCUUUCCUGUUCUCGAAUCCAAUCUCGGCGGCGGCGGCGACGACGGCCAUGCCCUGCUGACUGCCGCUGCCAGCCAGCACUUCCCCGCCCACACUCCGAGCCACAAAAUACCCUCGUCGACGGCGGUGGCCUUGUCCUCCCAGAUCUUUCCCACCUCCCCUCUGGACCACGAAGUUCCCUACCAUCGACUGCGGCGGCCUUGUUCGAGCCAGUUCUUAACCCUAACCAGGAAAUUGCUUCCCCACAUAUCUCCCUGUCUACUGCCGACAAGUACCGGGUAUACAACACCAUUCCAUGCUUGUUCUAGUGGUGAUAUUGGGGGAGUAGCAACGGCUGUGGAGACUUCUCGGCUCCACAACAUCUACCGUUCAUUAAUCUAAAGGGACGCAGGAAAGCAGAGAAGAGAAGGCAAUUGUUCUUCUAAAUGGAGGAAACUAGCGCGAACUCACCCUCGCCAUUCUUGGCAUCCAGACCAAUCCCAUCGGUCAAUAGCCUUGCCAUGACAGAAUUAAGUGAUGCUCACUCUGUCAACGAACCGAACGAGCGCCAAGACCAAGUUCAAACCUCAAGCCGGCCCAGAAGACAGCCUCGCCCACUGGCUCGGCUCGCCGGCCCAGAAUGGGCCCGUUAAGAGUUGUACUUAUAUCUGUAAACGAUAAGAUUCGAGUGGCGGCUGGAAAACGGCUAGGUAGCGUGUGCGUGCAAGCUUGUAAGCGGGGUCUCCUCUCCUCCUUCCCCCAAACAUCUCUCCUGUAUUCGAAUUCGCCAUGAAAUUAGAGAUGAAUCAUUGAGAUGCCCUAA